GUAGGGAAUCUUGCGCAAUGGGCGAAAGCCUGACGCAGCCAUGCCGCGUGAAUGAUGAAGGUCUUAGGAUUGUAAAAUUCUUUCACCGGGGACGAUAAUGACGGUACCCGGAGAAGAAGCCCCGGCUAACUUCGUGCCAGCAGCCGCGGUAAUACGAAGGGGGCUAGCGUUGCUCGGAAUUACUGGGCGUAAAGGGCGCGUAGGCGGACAGCUUAGUCAGAGGUGAAAGCCCAGGGCUCAACCUUGGAAUUGCCUUUGAUACUGGCUGUCUUGAGUUUGGGAGAGGUGAGUGGAACUCCGAGUGUAGAGGUGAAAUUCGUAGAUAUUCGGAAGAACACCAGUGGCGAAGGCGACUCACUGGCCCAAUACUGACGCUGAGGCGCGAAAGCGUGGGGAGCAAACAGGAUUAGAUACCCUAGUAGUCC
Molecule: ribosomal RNA, 425 nt
Filed under: uncultured bacterium
Lineage: Bacteria
Description: partial 16S ribosomal RNA
Rfam family: Bacterial small subunit ribosomal RNA
Source: RNAcentral